Long non-coding RNA from Bombina bombina (fire-bellied toad), 554 nucleotides. RefSeq lists it as uncharacterized. NCBI's taxonomy places the organism in Eukaryota, Metazoa, Chordata, Amphibia, Anura, Bombinatoridae. The transcript is spliced from 2 exons. The record is from RefSeq and is a predicted model, not a curated record.
UUCAUAUAGUAGUAUGGAAUAGCUCUGUUAUAUUUUCCAUUGGCAAACUCUCACUAAUAACUUCAGAUCGUAGUACAGUUCUUCUUUGGGGUCUUCUAAUGUAACAGAGCAGUACUUCUCCAAUAUGAGAACCAGUGAUCACACUGCAACCUUUCAACUCUAUCUCUCUCCAUUUGGAUCACAUUUAUUUGCAUACUGUGUCAGUCUAAUAGGUAUUUCAUCAUUAUCAAAAAAGCCCAGCGAAGAGUGGUUGAUGUUGUCUCCAUUCCAGCACCAAACAAAUUCGAUACAAGAUUAACUAGAUUUUCAUUGUGGAAAUAUAAUCCAGGAGUAGGUUUUUCCUGAAAUUUAUAGUUAAGAAGGUUUUGUAAUUUUUUUUAGACAUAAUCAACAAGCAACAUAACGUUAAAAACAAAACAACAUAACAAACACAAUGGUAGUACCUGUAUAUUUUCAUCCUGUAAUAGUCACCAAAUUAUAUAUUUAUCUAAUAGUGGUUAUUUAAUUAAAGCUAGGUGUUUUGUAACAUUCAUUAAAGGAACAUGAAGUCCUUA